AUACGGAGGGUGCAAGCGUUAUCCGGAAUCAUUGGGUUUAAAGGGUCCGCAGGCGGACUAAUAAGUCAGUGGUGAAAUCCUCUCGCUUAACGAGAGAACUGCCAUUGAAACUGUUAGUCUUGAAUUCGGUCGAAGUAGGCGGAAUGUGUCAUGUAGCGGUGAAAUGCAUAGAUAUGACACAGAACACCGAUAGCGAAGGCAGCUUACUAGACCUGGAUUGACGCUCAUGGACGAAAGCGUGGGGAGCGAACAGAAUUAGAAACCCUAGUAGUCC
RNAcentral lists this ribosomal RNA (274 nucleotides) under uncultured bacterium. RNAcentral's name for it is "partial 16S ribosomal RNA". It matches the Rfam family "Bacterial small subunit ribosomal RNA", at positions 523 to 796 of the family's 1533-position model. The record is from RNAcentral.